CAGUCGCCGCGGUAAUACGAAGGGUGCAAGCGUUAAUCGGAAUUACUGGGCGUAAAGCGUGCGUAGGCGGUGAGUUAAGUCUGCUGUGAAAUCCCCGGGCUCAACCUGGGAAUGGCAGUGGAUACUGGCUCGCUAGAGUGUGUCAGAGGAUGGUGGAAUUCCCGGUGUAGCGGUGAAAUGCGUAGAGAUCGGGAGGAACAUCAGUGGCGAAGGCGGCCAUCUGGGACAACACUGACGCUGAGGCACGAAAGCGUGGGGAGCAAACAGGAUUAGAGACCCGUGUAGUCCCUGUCUCUUAUAC
RNAcentral lists this ribosomal RNA (301 nucleotides) under uncultured bacterium. Its description in RNAcentral is "partial 16S ribosomal RNA". It matches the Rfam family "Bacterial small subunit ribosomal RNA", at positions 509 to 807 of the family's 1533-position model. The record is from RNAcentral.